Molecule: small RNA, 28 nt
Filed under: Bombyx mori (domestic silkworm)
Lineage: Eukaryota; Metazoa; Arthropoda; Insecta; Lepidoptera; Bombycidae
Description: piRNA piR-bmo-2167751
Source: RNAcentral
UAGUCAGUUUGGCUUUAGACGAGGUUAC